Dreissena polymorpha is the source of this 828-nucleotide long non-coding RNA. RefSeq lists it as uncharacterized. The transcript has 5 exons. The record is from RefSeq and is a predicted model, not a curated record. NCBI's taxonomy places the organism in Eukaryota, Metazoa, Mollusca, Bivalvia, Myida, Dreissenidae.
GUGGACAACAAGUACAUCCUUACUCAGAACCCCUGUCAGACACUGUGGUGGACUGCUGGAGACUCAUAGAGAGCAGGGACAUCAGUCUGGUGGUGACAUUCCCCGAUGAGGGAAAUGAACAGGACGGUCGAAUGUUUCCUACUACGGGGUCACUCACUGUGGGCCCUUUUAACAUCAUGUUCAUCACGGAACAUCACGAAGAGGACUAUUUUGUUUCGAGAGUCUUCAAAGUUCAAUACAUGAAAAAGGAGAGGACGGUAACUCAGCUGCUGUACCAGAAGUGGCCCAGGCGCCAGAUGGCACCGCCAAAUGUCGGUGAAUUCUGAUAUUAAUGGACGCUGUGGAGAAGAGGACAAAAUCUUCAACAGCGUUGAUACAGUGCUUAGAUGGUGCUACAAGAAGCGGCCUGCUGCUGGUACUGUUUUACGCCACGGAAUGCAUGUCCAAGGAUGGGGAAGUGUCGCUGCCUAUGGUCAUCAGGCAUCUUAGAACGAGGCGUCCGCAGCUCAUACCGAACUUUGAACAGUAUCGGUUUUGCUACAGCUUGCUGACACAGUAUGUAGAAUCCAAUGUGAUGUACGCCAACACAUAGCGUCAAGAGAGAAUUGAUAUAUGGGUUGUUCCUACUGACAUCUGGAAGUCGCGGUGUAUGACUUGAUGCACAUAUUAGAACGUGACAUAUGGCAAUGCGUGCGCUAGAUGUAGAUGUUCAUGAAUAUUGCAAGUUUGCACUUAUUACGAUAGAAAUGACUCGCAUGUAGCCACAUUAUCCAACAAGAUCGAAUAAUAAUAGAUAAAACUUUUUAAAAAUACUUUUCAAAGCGUGGA